GAAAUGCGAUAAGUAAUGUGAAUUGCAGAAUUCAGUGAAUCAUCGAAUCUUUGAACGCACAUUGCGCCCGCCAGUAUUCUGGCGGGCAUGCCUGUUCGAGCGUCAUUACAACCCUCAGGCCCCCGGGCCUGGCGUUGGGGAUCGGCGGAAGCCCCCUGCGGGCACAACGCCGUCCCCCAAAUACAGUGGCGGUCCCGCCGCAGCUUCCAUUGCGUAGUAGCUAACACCUCGCAACUGGAGAGCGGCGCGGCCACGCCGUAAAACACCCGACUUCUGAAUGUUGACCUCGAAUCAGGUAGGAAUACCCGCUGAACUUAAGC
This 320-nucleotide unclassified non-coding RNA is filed under the name plant metagenome. RNAcentral describes it as "partial contains 5.8S ribosomal RNA, internal transcribed spacer 2, and large subunit ribosomal RNA". The stretch from base 1 to 105 matches the Rfam family "5.8S ribosomal RNA", at positions 50 to 154 of the family's 154-position model. The record is from RNAcentral.